CAAGAUAUAUGGUCGCCUGGAGAGUGUUUGCUGACCCUCCGCGAGCGCUUGGUCAUGGGGAUCUAACCCGGAACCUCAAGACUACGAAUCAAAAGCGCUGUCUACCCAGCUGUCAGGCGCCCCAGCUUUGGUAAUUAGACAGACUGUUUGUUCCUUAAAUGAGCUCAUGAUUCCGACAAAAUGUCUAUUCCUUCAAUGAAAACAUUUCUGCAAAUGACAAAUGGAUAGCAUAGUGUACUGUAUAUAUGGUCUGAUAUUUUUGCAUAAGGUUAUAGAUGUGUUGUCAAAAUGAGACAAAGGAUUAGACAAUGCUUUAUUUUAAUUAUAGCAUUAGACAGUAACUACAAAUUUCAACAAUAACAAUGAUUGUAGUAUGUGAUUGUAAGAAUAUUAGUCUGAAAAUAAAAUUUGCAUCAAUAUCUUAUAUCUGCCUUACUGCGAGAUAUGUUGCUAAUCGUCAUACUCCUUAAGACCCAUCUCAAGCUCAACAUGAAUAAUGGACCACAAAUUGGUAUUCAGAUCAUAAUAUAGUACAAUACUUAAAACUACCAGUAUGUUAAUUCAUACAUCAACAGAGGGUUUUCAUCUCGCUUUCAGAUUUUAGUACAGUGUGCAAAAGUUGAAGUGGGCCUUUAGCAGUUAGGCCAAUGAUAAGAUCAACAAAAUGUUUUUGUAAAUAUUUGAAGAUUGUCAACAAAGGAGGAAAUUUCUAUUAAUAUAUGAAUAGCCAUUACAUUCUUUUAACUAUUCAUGAAAUAACUUUUGUAGACUUCAUAAUCAUUAUUAUAAUCAUAUGGAAUGCAACUUUGUCAACAAUUGAUAAGUACAGUAACAAAAUAAAAAAAAAUUACUGUACUUAAAAUAUAGAACAUUUGUGGUGAAUAAGGAAUGUUAAACUCGGAAAAUAGAAUUUCCCAGUUUUUAAAUUCUAAUUACUUUUCUGAGCAAUUCUGUGAAGUGAAAUGGAUUUAAUAAAUAUAAAAUUUUUA
Molecule: non-coding RNA, 989 nt
Organism: Procambarus clarkii (red swamp crayfish)
Lineage: Eukaryota; Metazoa; Arthropoda; Malacostraca; Decapoda; Cambaridae
Source: RefSeq, a predicted model, not a curated record